CCGUUUAGUAUUUGGGUCGGAAUCUGAGUUGAGUCAAGCAUGACGGAUCCUUUAUAUUUCAUUUUUCUUAUUCUUCUUUCACACUCAUCGACAUUCUGCACAACCCUAAAACCAAAGCCGUUCAUCUUGAUCUUGGUUCAAUAAUCCUUCGUCAAUCCAAGGUGAUUUGUGAAGAAAUCAUUCUUUCCAUAAAUCUGUAAAUGUGCUUCUGCUUCAAUCCAUCUUCUUCCACUCAUGUUUGAUCAUCCAAGAUUCAUGUUAAGCGAUUCCAUAUACAUUGAAAGAGAAACAAUCUAUUUUGGUUUAAGAUUAGUGGUGAUAUUUUUUAUAAUGGAUACAAACUAGAAGAAUUUGUUCCCUAGAGAACUGCUGCCUAUAUAAGUCAAAAUGAUUUGCAUAUUCUCGAGAUGACUAUUGGGGAAACACUUGAUUUCUCAUCCCGUUUUCAGAGAUUAUGAUGGAGGUUAACAGAAGGGAGAAAGAAGGAGGGAUUAUUCCAGAUCCAGAUAUAGACACUUUUAUUAAGGUAAUGUACUUAUAUGAUUUGAAUUGAUUAUGUAAGCCUAUGGGAUCUUAUUCCUACAAAGCAAGCUUACAAGUUGGGUUUUUGCAGUCAAUUAUAAUCGCUUUAUCCAUAGAAUCCUUUAUUUGUCAUAUUAAAGGGUUAUUUUAUGAUUAAGUUACUAGUUGAGCCAAACGCCCCAGUAUUUCAUUUUUUCAUGGGACAAAGAGAGUAUGUGUUUUCUGGGUUCUUGAUAAUGGUUUCAAAUGAAUAGUGGAGAAGAGAAGUUGCUUUUGUUGGGUUUGAUGUUGCAAUACAAAUGGAUAUUUUUGCUGAAAAAAUGUCAUUUGGCGUAUCGGGGGUUAAUCCUCAGAGAAGAGAAGAGUUGAGCUAAUUAAGGUAGGUCCCAUUCUUCACUAUUUCUUAUA
RNAcentral lists this long non-coding RNA (930 nucleotides) under Helianthus annuus (common sunflower). The record is from RNAcentral. Lineage: Eukaryota; Viridiplantae; Streptophyta; Magnoliopsida; Asterales; Asteraceae.